RNAcentral lists this long non-coding RNA (330 nucleotides) under Felis catus (domestic cat). RNAcentral's name for it is "lncRNA (ENSFCAG00000044349.2)". The record is from RNAcentral. Lineage: Eukaryota; Metazoa; Chordata; Mammalia; Carnivora; Felidae.
CAACACUGAGCAACAUUAUUCCCUCUGGAGAGAUGGAGCCCAGGCGUUGCUCCGCGGCCACUCGGAGACCUGGAGCCCACCUGCCCUGCCAUCCUCUCUACUAGGGGCCAGCCCCACCCCACAGCAGUGCAGGGGCAGCAGAAUCCAGGGUGCCUAUCUGGGAGCAGAAACAUUUGAAGAGGACCAUGAAGGAGAGUGUGGGAUCGGUUCCUAAACCUGAGAGGGACAUCAAUUUUCCCCAGCAGCACCCCGGAAAUGGAGGUGGGAGCAGGGCAGGGCUAGCCUCCCCUCCCCCAAGCCCUGGGAAGGUACUGAGGAAAGACCCCAUGG